This 468-nucleotide ribosomal RNA is filed under the name uncultured bacterium. Its description in RNAcentral is "partial 16S ribosomal RNA". It matches the Rfam family "Bacterial small subunit ribosomal RNA", at positions 28 to 507 of the family's 1533-position model. The record is from RNAcentral.
GACGAACGCUGGCGGCGUGCUUAACACAUGCAAGUCGAACGGAAAGGCCAUGCUUUUGUGGGGUGCUCGAGUGGCGAACGGGUGAGUAACACGUGAGUAACCUGCCCUUGACUUUGGGAUAACUUCAGGAAACUGGGGCUAAUACCGGAUAGGAGCUCCUGCUGCGUGUGGGGGGUUGGAGAGUUUCGGCGGUUGGGGAUGGUCUCGCGGCUUAUCAGCUUGUUUGUGUGGUAGUGGCUUACCAAGGCUUUGACGGGUAGCCGGCCUGAGAGGGGUAACGGCCACAUUGGGACUGAGAUACGGACCAGACUCCUACGGGAGGCAGCAGUGGGGAAUAUUGCACAAUGGGCGGAAGCCUGAUGCAGCGACGCCGCGUGCGGGAUGACGGCCUUCGGGGUGUAAACAGCUUUCGCCUGUGACGAAGCGUGAGUGACGGUAAUUGGUAAAGAAGCACCGGCUAACUACGUG